CAGCCGCCGCGGUAAUACCAGCACCUCGAGUGGUCAGGAGGUUUAUUGGGCCUAAAGCAUCCGUAGCCGGUUGCAUAAGUUUUCGGUUAAAUCUAUGCGCUUAACGUAUAGGCCGCCGAAAAUACUGUGCAGCUAGGGAGUGGGAGAGGUACACGGUACCCGAUAGGAAGGGGUAAAAUCCUUUGAUCUAUUGAUGACCACCUGUGGCGAAGGCGGUGUACCAGAACACGUUCGACGGUGAGGGAUGAAAGCUGGGGGAGCAAACCGGAUUAGAUACCCGAGUAGUCCCUGUCUCUUAUAU
This 301-nucleotide ribosomal RNA is filed under the name uncultured bacterium. Its description in RNAcentral is "partial 16S ribosomal RNA". It matches the Rfam family "Archaeal small subunit ribosomal RNA", at positions 459 to 760 of the family's 1478-position model. The record is from RNAcentral.